Molecule: ribosomal RNA, 459 nt
Filed under: uncultured bacterium
Lineage: Bacteria
Description: bacterial SSU rRNA
Rfam family: Bacterial small subunit ribosomal RNA
Source: RNAcentral
ACUCCUACGGGAGGCAGCAGUGGGGAAUAUUGCACAAUGGGCGCAAGCCUGAUGCAGCCAUGCCGCGUGUAUGAAGAAGGCCUUCGGGUUGUAAAGUACUUUCAGCAGUGAGGAAGGUGGAUAUGUUAAUAGCAUAUUCUAUUUGUACGUUAGCUGCAGAAGAAGCACCGGCUAACUCCGUGCCAGCAGCCGCGGUAAUACGGGAGGGUGCGAGCGUUAAUCGGAAUUACUGGGCGUAAAGCGCAUGCAGGUGGUUUGUUAAGUCAGAUGUGAAAGCCCGGGGCUCAACCUCGGAAUUGCAUUUGAAACUGGCAAACUAGAGUACUGUAGAGGGGGUUAGGAAUUUCAGGUGUAGCGGUGAAAUGCGUAGAGAUCUGAAGGAAUACCGGUGGCGAAGGCGGCCCCGUGGACAGAUACUGACACUCAGAUGCGAAAGCGUGGGAGCAAACAGGAUUAGAU